GCUGUGUUUAUUCUUUAAUUCAAGUGUUGGAACGACAACCUAUCGCGUACUGCAAAUGUAUCGAUCCUGAAACGUAAGCGCAUAGUUUGGGAGACCGACUGGCAUAAUUUAGGUUUCGCUCACGCCGACACCACAAAACACACUGUCGGACAGUACAUACAUACAGCGAAACAUUUAACACCAUUAUUUUCCUUGCAGUAGACGUACCACAAGCGACAAAACAAGAACACCGGGCAGCUAGAGCACGUUGUUGUAUGCUGCGGAGCAGCUAAAAGUAUGACGGUCAGCACCAGUUUUCGUAUGCAUAUGGACGAGAACGCCAACUUUCAAACAAUUAUUACUUUUUGCCCUAAUCUCAUGCGCGACUUUCUUCCCACGUGAAACCAUUCGCAGCGUAAGCAACGUGGAUCCAGCGUCAUCGCCAUCAAAAAAACGACGACGCGCCGCUUUCAGAUUCGCAAAUGGCGAUUUAAACGAGGAAGUUAUUUUUCAUGCUAAGUCGUUCACGAAAUUCCGAGUGCCAAACACAGUGGACGGCACGGAGGACAAAAACGAUAAAACGCUGUCGUGCUUUACGACGAUGAACAACAAUUGCGAAUAACUUUCGAUCAUUUGAAGCUGUUCCGGGUGCUUCCACUGCCUGCAACGGCGGCUGCUCCGGGUCCACCGUCGUUUUGUAGCUCUCCAAUGAGGGACCAUUGCGAUCACUGCUGUUGGGAUGCCGAAGCGCCUCAGGGACUCAAGCUUCACCCUCUGCAUCACUUGGUGGAUCUGGCCUAGGACUGCCUUUUUCAUGUGUGUGGCCAACCUUUGUAGGGUUACUUCCUAAAAGAAAAAAUAAACGACACUU
Molecule: long non-coding RNA, 850 nt
Organism: Dermacentor albipictus
Lineage: Eukaryota; Metazoa; Arthropoda; Arachnida; Ixodida; Ixodidae
Source: RefSeq, a predicted model, not a curated record